CCAUAUUACCGGGCCCAGCUUCGGCUGGCUCGAUUAUACCCUUGUCUUGUCUACCCCGUUUCCUCGGUAAUGGCCUGCCAGAGGACAUUUUUAAACCAUGUACUUGCAAUCAGCGUCAGAAAACAAAAUAUUA
Molecule: unclassified non-coding RNA, 133 nt
Filed under: uncultured fungus
Lineage: Eukaryota; Fungi
Description: sequence contains ITS1, 5.8S rRNA gene
Source: RNAcentral